GCUAACGUAGCUUAAUUUAAAGCAUGGCACUGAAGAUGCUAAGAUGGGAAAUGAAAUUUUCCGUAAGCA
Molecule: transfer RNA, 69 nt
Filed under: Cephaloscyllium umbratile (blotchy swell shark)
Lineage: Eukaryota; Metazoa; Chordata; Chondrichthyes; Carcharhiniformes; Scyliorhinidae
Description: tRNA-Phe
Rfam family: tRNA
About the family: Transfer RNA (tRNA) molecules are approximately 80 nucleotides in length. Their secondary structure includes four short double-helical elements and three loops (D, anti-codon, and T loops).
Source: RNAcentral